Molecule: ribosomal RNA, 301 nt
Filed under: uncultured bacterium
Lineage: Bacteria
Description: partial 16S ribosomal RNA
Rfam family: Bacterial small subunit ribosomal RNA
Source: RNAcentral
CAGCCGCCACGGGAAUACAGAGGGUGCAAGCGUUAAUCGGAAUUACUGGGCGUAAAGCGCGCGUAGGUGGUUCGCCAAGUUGGAUGUGAAAUCCCCGGGCUCAACCUGGGAAUUGCAGUGGAUACUGGGUCACUAGAGUGUGGUAGAGGAUAGUGGAAUUUCCGGUGUAGCAGUGAAAUGCGUAGAGAUCGGGAGGAACAUCAGUGGCGAAGGCGGCCAUCUGGGACAACACUGACGCUGAGGCACGAAAGCGUGGGGAGCAAACAGGAUUAGAGACCCGCGUAGUCCCUGUCUCUUAUAC